This 516-nucleotide unclassified non-coding RNA is filed under the name uncultured bacterium. RNAcentral's name for it is "partial contains 16S ribosomal RNA, 16S-23S ribosomal RNA intergenic spacer, and 23S ribosomal RNA". The stretch from base 1 to 152 matches the Rfam family "Bacterial small subunit ribosomal RNA", at positions 1383 to 1533 of the family's 1533-position model. The record is from RNAcentral.
GUACACACCGCCCGUCACGUCAUGAAAGUCGGUAACACCCGAAGCCAGUGGCCUAACCCUUGUGGGGGGAGCUGUCGAAGGUGGGAUCGGCGAUUGGGACGAAGUCGUAACGAGGUAGCCGUACCGGAAGGUGCGGCUGGAUCACCUCCUUUCUAAGGAGCACCACGAAAAGAGUGCGGCAUCAGGCUGCGCUCGAGCCGUGAGGAAUCCGGUCGCUGUAGUGGCGCCGGGUCUGGUGCGCAACAACGAAUCGUCGUGCUGUGUCGGCUAUCGCCGGCCGGUGGGACAGCAAUUUCUGCCAGACACACUGUUGGGUCCUGAGGCAACACCUGCUGUUGUCUUCAGCCCGUUGGGGUUGAAGUGCGAUGUUGUCGCUCCAUCUUGGUGGUGGGGUGUGGUGUUUGUUUAUUGGAUAGUGGUUGCGAGCAUCUUAAACAAAAGUGCUGAUUUUUCAGUUUUUUGUUGAGUUUGUUUUUUUAGUGUUUGUAAGUGUUUAAGGGCGCACGGUGGAUGCCU